This 497-nucleotide ribosomal RNA is filed under the name uncultured bacterium. RNAcentral's name for it is "partial 16S ribosomal RNA". It matches the Rfam family "Bacterial small subunit ribosomal RNA", at positions 28 to 507 of the family's 1533-position model. The record is from RNAcentral.
GACGAACGCUGGCGGCGUGCCUAAUACAUGCAAGUAGAACGCUGAAGCGCGGAGCUUGCCCUUCUCGGGUGUGUUGCGAACGGGUGAGUAACGCGUAUGUACCCUGCUUUGUAGCGGGGGAUAACUAUUGAACACGAUAGCUAAUACCGCAUAACAUUGGACUGCACAUGUCAUUUAUUUGAGAUGGGCAAUUGCUCCACUACCAGAUGGAUCUGCGUUGUAUUAGUGAGUAGGUGCGGUAACGACUCACCUAGGCGGCGUUACAUAGCGGACCUGAGAGGGUGGUCGGCCACACUGGGACUGAGACACGGCCCAGACUCCUACGGGAGGCAGCAGUAGGGAAUCUUCGGCAAUGAGGGCAAACCUGACCGCGCAACGCCGCAUGAGUGAAGAAGGUCUUCGGGUCGUAGAGCUCGGUUGUAAGUCAAGAACGAGUGUGAGCGUGGAAAGUUCACACUGUGACGGUAGCUUACCAGAAAGGGACGGCUAACUACGUG